RNAcentral lists this ribosomal RNA (253 nucleotides) under uncultured bacterium. Its description in RNAcentral is "partial 16S ribosomal RNA". It matches the Rfam family "Bacterial small subunit ribosomal RNA", at positions 524 to 776 of the family's 1533-position model. The record is from RNAcentral.
UACGUAGGGGGCAAGCGUUGUCCGGAUUUAUUGGGCGUAAAGAGCGUGUAGGCGGCUUUACAGGUCCGUUGUGAAAACUCGAGGCUCAACCUCGAGACGCCGGUGGAAACCGUAAGGCUAGAGUCCGGAAGAGGAGAGUGGAAUUCCUGGUGUAGCGGUGAAAUGCGCAGAUAUCAGGAGGAACACCGGUGGCGAAGGCGGAUCUCUGGGCCUUACCUGACGCUCAGGUGCGAAAGCUAGGGGAGCGAACAGG